RNAcentral lists this ribosomal RNA (808 nucleotides) under uncultured bacterium. Its description in RNAcentral is "bacterial SSU rRNA". It matches the Rfam family "Bacterial small subunit ribosomal RNA", at positions 8 to 796 of the family's 1533-position model. The record is from RNAcentral.
AGAGUUUGAUCAUGGCUCAGAAUCAACGCUGGCGGCGUGCCUAACACAUGCAAGUCGAACGCGAAAGUCCCGCAAGGGAUCAGUAGAGUGGCAAACGGGUGAGUAACACGUGGGUGACCUGCCUUCGAGUGGGGGAUAACGUCCCGAAAGGGACGCUAAUACCGCAUGACAUCCUGCCUUUGAAGAGGUGGAGCUUAAAGCUGGGGAUCGCAAGACCUAGCGCUUGAAGAGGGGCCCGCGCCUGAUUAGCUAGUUGGUGAGGUAACGGCUCACCAAGGCAACGAUCAGUAUCCGGCCUGAGAGGGCGGACGGACACACUGGGACUGAGACACGGCCCAGACUCCUACGGGAGGCAGCAGUGGGGAAUUGUUCGCAAUGGGCGCAAGCCUGACGACGCAACGCCGCGUGGAGGAUGAAGAUCUUCGGGUCGUAAACUCCUUUCGAUCGAGACGAACGGCCCCUGGGCUAAUCACCAGGGGAGUGACGGUACCGAGAGAAGAAGCCCCGGCUAACUCCGUGCCAGCAGCCGCGGUAAUACGGGGGGGGCAAGCGUUGUUCGGAAUUACUGGGCGUAAAGGGCUCGUAGGUGGCCAACUAAGUCAUACGUGAAAUCCCUCGGCUUAACCGGGGAACUGCGUCUGAUACUGGAUGGCUUGAGGUUGGGAGAGGGAUGCGGAAUUCCAGGUGUAGCGGUGAAAUGCGUAGAUAUCUGGAGGAACACCGGUGGCGAAGGCGGCAUCCUGGACCAAUUCUGACACUGAGGAGCGAAAGCCAGGGGAGCAAACGGGAUUAGAUACCCUAGUAGUCC